GUGAUUGUUGAUUUUAAGUUUUUUUUGAUUUAAUUUAUAAAUUAAUAUAUUAUAUUUUUGUUUUAGUAUUGUAUAAAGAAUAAAUUUAUUAUGUGGUACUGUAAAGGAUAAUUGAAAUAGUUGAAAAAUUAAUUAUAAAAAAGUAGAUAAAUUAUUGUACCUUUUGUAUCAGGGUUUAUCAAAUUUAUUUAAAUUAAUUUAUUUUCUCGAUUUCAGAAGAGCUANNNNNNNNNNNNNNNNNNNUAAUGUGUCAUGAUUAUUAAAAAUAUUAAUUAGGGAAGAAAUUUCAUUCGUUUUAAAGGUAUCUAGUUUUUUAAGAAAUAAAUUUAAUUUAGAAUUAUAAAUUAUUUAAUUAAUUUUUUAAUUAAAUAUAUUAUAAUAUUAAAAUAAUAGGGGAUAAGCUCUAUUUUUAUUCUAUAAAUUUAUAUUUUAAUCAAUUUAUGUAGGGUUAAGAUCAUCCAUCAUUUAUGAGUACGUUAUAGUAAAUAUUGAUUAAAUUAGAUUUAUUUAAAUUUUAGAAUUUUAUUAAAAUAAUAAAUUUAACAAAAUAUUUUAUGAAAUAAUGAUUAAAUUAGUAUAAUUAUUUGUUUAUAAUAAUUAAAUUGAGAUGAUUAAAUAAGGAACUCGGCAAAUAAACACUCGCCUGUUUAUCAAAAACAUCGUCUUUUGAAUAUAUAGAAGAUAUAACCUGCCCACUGAAGAAUUGAAGGGCCGCGGUAUUGUGACCGUGCAAAGGUAGCAUAAUCAUUAGUCUUCUAAUUAAAGGCUGGAAUGAAUGGUUGGACGAGGUAAAAGCUGUCUCAUUUAAGAUAUUUAUAAUUUAACUUUUUAGUGAAAAGGCUGAAAUAAAGUUGGAGGACGAGAAGACCCUAUAGAGCUUAAUAGGAUUAGUUAAUUUGAGAUUUAGUAUAUGUUUUAUUAUUAAUUUACCUAUUUUGUUGGGGUGACAAGAAAAUAAAUAAACUUUUCUAAAAUUUUACACUAAUGAGUGAAAGUAAGAUCCAUUUUUAGUGAUUAUAAGAAGAAGUUACCUUAGGGAUAACAGCGUAAUCCUUUUUGAGAGUUCUUAUCGACAAAAGGGUUUGCGACCUCGAUGUUGGACUAAGAAAAUAUUUGGGUGUAGAUGUUCAAAUGUUAGUCUGUUCGACCUUUAAUUCUUACAU
RNAcentral lists this ribosomal RNA (1163 nucleotides) under Ephemera sp. 1 BM-2008. Its description in RNAcentral is "partial 16S ribosomal RNA". The stretch from base 638 to 790 matches the Rfam family "Archaeal large subunit ribosomal RNA", at positions 1889 to 2090 of the family's 2987-position model. The record is from RNAcentral. Lineage: Eukaryota; Metazoa; Arthropoda; Insecta; Ephemeroptera; Ephemeridae.